GACCAACGCUGGCGGCGUGCUUAACACAUGCAAGUCGAGCGGUAAGGCCCUUUCGGGGGUACACGAGCGGCGAACGGGUGAGUAACACGUGGGUGACCUGCCCUCAGCUCUGGGAUAAGCCUGGGAAACCGGGUCUAAUACUGGAUAUGACUCCAUGACGCAUGUUGUGGGGUGGAAAGCCUUGUGCGGCUGAGGAUGGGCCCGCGGCCUAUCAGCUUGUUGGUGGGGUGANGGCCUACCAAGGCGACGACGGGUAGCCGGCCUGAGAGGGCGACCGGCCACACUGGGACUGAGACACGGCCCAGACUCCUACGGGAGGCAGCAGUGGGGAAUCUUGCGCAAUGGGCGAAAGCCUGACGCAGCGACGCCGCGUGAGGGA
RNAcentral lists this ribosomal RNA (379 nucleotides) under uncultured bacterium. Its description in RNAcentral is "bacterial SSU rRNA". It matches the Rfam family "Bacterial small subunit ribosomal RNA", at positions 28 to 408 of the family's 1533-position model. The record is from RNAcentral.